CACACGACUCUCGGCAACGGAUAUCUCGGCUCUCGCAUCGAUGAAGAACGUAGCGAAAUGCGAUACCUGGUGUGAAUUGCAGAGUCCCGUGAACCAUCGAGUCUUUGAACGCAAGUUGCGCCCGAGGCCAUCCGGCCGAGGGCACGCCUGCCUGGGCGUCACGC
RNAcentral lists this ribosomal RNA (164 nucleotides) under Oryza alta. Its description in RNAcentral is "5.8S ribosomal RNA". It matches the Rfam family "5.8S ribosomal RNA". Rfam says of the family: 5.8S ribosomal RNA (5.8S rRNA) is a component of the large subunit of the eukaryotic ribosome. It is transcribed by RNA polymerase I as part of the 45S precursor that also contains 18S and 28S rRNA. Functionally, it is thought that 5.8S rRNA may be involved in ribosome translocation. Lineage: Eukaryota; Viridiplantae; Streptophyta; Magnoliopsida; Poales; Poaceae. The record is from RNAcentral.